CCUACGGGUGGCUGCAGUGAGGAAUAUUGGUCAAUGGGCGGAAGCCUGAACCAGCCAAGUAGCGUGCGGGAUGACGGCCCUACGGGUUGUAAACCGCUUUUGCCCGGGGACAACACCCUCCCCUCGUGGCGUUCUGCAGGUACCGGUCGACUAAGCGCCGGCUAAUUCCGUGCCAGCAGCCGCGGUAAUACGGAGGGCGCGAGCGUUAUCCGGAUUCAUUGGGCUUAAAGGGUGCGUAGGCGGGCGAUCAAGUCAGCUGUAAAAUCGCGCGGCUCAACCGCUCCGCGCCGUUGACACUGGAUGUCUUGAGUUAACAACAGGUAGGCGGAAUGCGUGGGGUAGCGGUGAAAUGCAUAGAUAUCACGCGGAACCCCGAUUGCGAAGGCAGCCUGCCGGCGCGCGACUGACGCUGAGGCUCGAAGGUGUGGGUAUCAAACAGGAUUAGAUACCCCUGUAGUC
RNAcentral lists this ribosomal RNA (459 nucleotides) under uncultured bacterium. Its description in RNAcentral is "partial 16S ribosomal RNA". It matches the Rfam family "Bacterial small subunit ribosomal RNA", at positions 338 to 795 of the family's 1533-position model. The record is from RNAcentral.